GACGAACGCUGGCGGCGUGCUUAACACAUGCAAGUCGAACGGAAAGGCCCUGCUUUUGUGGGGUGCUCGAGUGGCGAACGGGUGAGUAACACGUGAGUAACCUGCCCUUGACUUUGGGAUAACUUCAGGAAACUGGGGCUAAUACCGGAUAGGAGCUCCUGCUGCAUGGUGGGGGUUGGAAAGUUUCGGCGGUUGGGGAUGGACUCGCGGCCUAUCAGCUUGUUGGUGGGGUAGUGGCUUACCAAGGCUUUGACGGGUAGCCGGCCUGAGAGGGUGACCGGCCACAUUGGGACUGAGAUACGGCCCAGACUCCUACGGGAGGCAGCAGUGGGGAAUAUUGCACAAUGGGCGGAAGCCUGAUGCAGCAACGCCGCGUGCGGGAUGACGGCCUUCGGGUUGUAAACCGCUUUCGCCUGUGACGAAGCGUGAGUGACGGUAAUGGGUAAAGAAGCACCGGCUAACUACGUGCCAGCAGCCGCGGUGAUACGUAGGGUGCGAGCGUUGUCCGGAUUUAUUGGGCGUAAAGGGCUCGUAGGUGGUUGAUCGCGUCGGAAGUGUAAUCUUGGGGCUUAACCCUGAGCGUGCUUUCGAUACGGGUUGACUUGAGGAAGGUAGGGGAGAAUGGAAUUCCUGGUGGAGCGGUGGAAUGCGCAGAUAUCAGGAGGAACACCAGUGGCGAAGGCGGUUCUCUGGGCCUUUCCUGACGCUGAGGAGCGAAAGCGUGGGGAGCGAACAGGCUUAGAUACCCUGGUAGUCCACGCUGUAAACGGUGGGUACUAGGUGUGGGGUCCAUUCCACGGGUUCCGUGCCGUAGCUAACGCUUUAAGUACCCCGCCUGGGGAGUACGGCCGCAAGGCUAAAACUCAAAGGAAUUGACGGGGCCCCGCACAAGCGGCGGAGCAUGCGGAUUAAUUCGAUGCAACGCGUAGAACCUUACCUGGGUUUGACAUGGAUCGGGAGUGCUCAGAGAUGGGUGUGCCUCUUUUGGGGUCGGUUCACAGGUGGUGCAUGGCUGUCGUCAGCUCGUGUCGUGAGAUGUUGGGUUAAGUCCCGCAACGAGCGCAACCCUUGUUCACUGUUGCCAGCACGUUAUGGUGGGGACUCAGUGGAGACCGCCGGGGUCAACUCGGAGGAAGGUGGGGAUGACGUCAAGUCAUCAUGCCCCUUAUGUCCAGGGCUUCACGCAUGCUACAAUGGCUGGUACAGAGAGUGGCGAGCCUGUGAGGGUGAGCGAAUCUCGGAAAGCCGGUCUCAGUUCGGAUUGGGGUCUGCAACUCGACCUCAUGAAGUCGGAGUCGCUAGUAAUCGCAGAUCAGCAACGCUGCGGUGAAUAAAUUCCCGGGGCU
Molecule: ribosomal RNA, 1346 nt
Filed under: uncultured bacterium
Lineage: Bacteria
Description: partial 16S ribosomal RNA
Rfam family: Bacterial small subunit ribosomal RNA
Source: RNAcentral